This is an RNA transcript of Hippocampus zosterae (dwarf seahorse), 7717 nucleotides long. It is a transcript of the gene named lymphoid-restricted membrane protein, with no coding region annotated. Lineage: Eukaryota; Metazoa; Chordata; Actinopteri; Syngnathiformes; Syngnathidae. The record is from RefSeq and is a predicted model, not a curated record. The transcript is spliced from 42 exons.
GCUGGAUUAAAAAGUGAAAAGACGAAGACAAAAAAUGAAGACGACUGAGGUGAUGCCUUUAGCUCAGUGAAUUCAGUGUUUUGUUUCAAGACACCACAAGAGGGAGCCAACACUUUGGCAUUUACUGAUUCAAGAUAUUGAAUGUGAAUCAUCCCACGUCUGUGUCCCCAUAAUGUCGGACUAUGGAUUAGACAUAACCUUCCUCCUCGUACACAGUACUCCAAACCUAAUCCCGGAUUAUAAAUUGAUGAGUGACCCAUAGCGCUCCACUUUUUGGUUUUAUGUAGAUUUUAUCCCAUGAAAUUGUGUCUGUGUUCCCUAUGUUUUUUUCCCCUUUUAUUAUGUCGUUGUCUGCUCAUCAUGAACAAUAUGACACAUGACGAGCCAUUUUAGUAUGCGUCAUAAUCCUUCCUCACAGUUACCUGCAUCCCUCUGUUCACACACUGCUGUCAGGUGCUUAAGUGGCUAUAAAUACUGUAUGACCAUGCUGUCUCUCUUCCAGUGUGUGUGUGUGUGUGUGUGUGUGUGUGUGGAGGAGAGCGAGCGGUGAAAGUAGAUAAGGCCCACUGAGCCUUUUGUACUACUCAGGGAUUAGAACUAUCUGUUGGGUUGUCUCUGACCAAACCACACGAUGCCCCACAAAGUUGGCACACACUUCAGACAAAAUGAAAAUAAAGGUGUUUGUGUGAGUGUGUGGGUAUGUGAGUGACCUAAUCUCGACCUGAAAGCCUCGCUUGCUUCGUGUGGGCCGGGGCAAUGGAUUCUAGUGAGAGGAGGACCAGACCACCUAAAUUUUGUCCAACAAUGAGGAUUUCUUCCAUUUCUGAUUAACUUCUAAAUAAAACAGCUGGAUGAUGCUUUCAAGGCAUUUAUUGAUAUUUUAGGUUCUUCAUCCUCGACAAGGAGCCACUGUUGGGAUUUUUUUAAUGUGAAUCAUCAAGAUGCUGCAACUGAGGAUUCAAACCUUAAUUGAUCAUGGACUACUACCCACCACUGUCAACGCGACGCCACAACCCGGUGGACAGCAUCUGUCGCAAACUUCUGACCAACCAGUGGCGCGGUGACCGAGAGCCCAAUAGCCCCUUCCAAAUCCCCAAGCUGUCUUCCAGCAGCUACGAUAGCCCCCAGUGCGGCCUCAGGCGCAACAUGGAGGCCAUCUUGAGGAAAGGGAUCCACGGGAGCAAGGAGAAAAGUGACGGAAUGCUGAACUCUGCGCAAUCCCAAAGGAGCAACUUCCCAUCAUUCACUCCUUCCACACCAGCAGGCACCACCUCUUCUAACACCACAUACACCAUCACAAGUACCCUUGGGGAGAGCAAAGGUGUUGAUAGAAGUGCAAUAAAACCAUUCAGGACCUGGCAGAAGUAUUGCUCCACUCCCACGGGACAGGACAAAGACUCCCCAUACUUCACGGUCACCCGAGACGGACCCCACUCGGCACAGCCCAAGAGCGGAAGCGACGAGCCCGAUCUCUCUCGCACCUUCACCCCAAUUCACAGGACCGUCUCUUAUGACCUUAACUUCAGCCCUGCCGACACGGGGAGCUCCAUGGAGGGCGAGCUGUCCUACCCGGCUCUGGUUGUCAGAAAACUGUCGCUGGGAGAUGGAGGAAACACGGCGGCCUCUGAGAGCAACAACAUGGCAGAAGUAAGCCUCAUCUGCGAGGAGAAUCUUCUCGACACCAUCUUCCAUGCUUGUGACACGCAACGACGAGGAAAGGUGUACGUGUCUCACAUUGUGGACUUCUUGCGGCACACCACCAGCCGCACCUCAGAGGACAAAGGCCUGGAGGAGCUCUGCAACAUGCUUGAUCCCGAACGCAAAGAUGUUUCCAUCGACCUGGACACGUAUCACGCUGUCAUGAAGGAGUGGAUUGACGACUGCCGCAACAACGGUGAAGGACCGUCAGAAGAUCCCGCCAAGGACUCAGCUAGAACAAGAGACGGCAUUUCUGCCAGGAGGUCCAUGCUGCUCAAUAUGACCUCUGGAAGCUUGGAGGGCUUUGGAGGGGAUGUGUCAAGAGCAGAAUUUGAAACAUCAGAGCUCAUCUACUGCCUUGCCGACGUCCAAAUGAACAACCAGAAGCUCCAGGAGGAGGUGAGGAAGCUGAAACAGGCGGUGGAGGGGAUGGAGGAGAUCAACCAAAAGCUGGCGGAUGAGAACGAGGAGCUACACAACCAGACCAGAGUUCACCAGCAGCUGAUCCACAAAGAGAAGAUGCUGCACAACGAAGUGGAGGAAAUGAAGGUCACUCUGAGCUGCACGGAGGAAGGCAGAGCUCGCGCCUCCGCGCGCAGCAAGCACGUGGAAAGAGAAAACCAAGAUCUCAUAGCAAAGAUUGCUUUACUCCAGGACGAGAACUUCAAGGUCAGCAUGGAGAUGGACGAGCUUCAGAAGAGAAUAGCGGAGCUGUGUGACAUUAACGCUGACCUCCAGGUGCAGAUUCACUCUUUCGAUACAGUUAUCACUGAAAAGGAAUCUCUUAUCCAAGAGAAGAGCAGACAGAUAGACGAGCUCAAGGCGGCAGUCGAGGAAUACUCCUCCAUCACGGAGUUACUAAGGGCCGACAAGAGCAAACUGGAGAGCCACGUGCAGAUGAUACAUCAAGACCUUUUGAGCACUGGAGUCUCUCUUUCGGCAGCCUACAGGCUGAACCAGAGCGCUUCAGGAUCCCUGCAGACAGAGCUGGCUUUGGCUCAGUCACCACUGGAGUCUGUCUAUGGCUUUGACCAUUUGCCCACCAAUGUGUGCUUUGCUUCGCCACUCGAUGAGACCCUGGACAGAGAGGUGCUGCUGAUGAUGCACGGACCAAGCCCUGAUAUCAUGGCCCUGGAGUUCCAGAAACUGCUGAACAAACUGAAGACCGAUUUCAGACAAGACACCAACACCGUCGUGUCCACGUUGAAAGCCUUACUGAGUGACCGCUCAAAACCAGAGGGCACCACAGACGCCAGUCUUGAGGCGGUACAGGUCGCGCUUGAUGCAACAAGAGAAGACUGGGCCUUAAGCCUGGACCAGCUCGCGCAGUACACUGACUCCAUCGAGAAGGAGCUGGUCAAAAUGGCCAGUAAUGUGAGGAGGUCACGAACAGAGGUCCUGCACCUUUCAGUCAGGGUGCAGGAUCAGGAGAACCAGAAGCGGCAGCUCAGUGAGGAAGUGGAGCAGCUCAAGACUUGUCAAGAUAGCAGAGAAGCCUCGUGCCAGACACCUGCACCAGAAGAAGAGACUGGGCAUGACCUGGAAUGGGAUGAGGAAUACGCCCUUCAAGAGUUCCUGAAAAAGGACAUGGCAGGGAGCAACGGUCAAGCGCGGGACGGAGGAACGGACAGCGGGCAGAUGGAGGACGGGGACGAGAGGUGGACGGUGGUCAAUGGCGAAGGAGAAGCGGGGCACUCUUCCACUCCUGUGUCUGCCAAGCUUGAAGCUUCUCCGGAUGGACAGUGUCUGGCAGAAACUCCAGAGCAUAGAGCGAACCAUCAUCGUUUGCAGGACGAGGCAGCAGUACUGCCGGACGCCCCCUCACAAGCUGUCAGUGCCGAGCAGCCAGCGGCGGAUGCCCUGCCUGAUCCGUCCCACUCAGAGAGCUGCGGGGCAGAGACUAGAUUGGCUCAGUCUGAAGACGCCACUCAGAAUAUGAGCACCUUGUCUGAUCAGGACCCAACAAAGAUGCCUCCCACAACCAACAAUGAAACAGAUGAGGUCACUCCUCCGAAUGAGAGCAGCGUGCAGCCGUCUGGCGAGGGCCAAGACGACGAGGGCGACGCGAGCAGCACAACGAGCCCGAUCCUGAACCAGUCUGCGCCUAGGCCGGCAGCGGGGGACGCUGCUAAUGCCAACACUUUGGUUCUCAGCGCAAGUCCGCUUCCCGUGUUGGUUGAAGAAGAGGAAAGCGUGCGGGAGGGUAACGUCGCAGCUCCAACCGCGGAGGCCGGCAUGGCAGGGACCGAGCAGCUCACCAGCACAAACGCCCCAACUGAUGGUCGGCAGUCGAGCGUGUCCUCGGUACAAAACGGCCAAUCAGAGAGCGGCGUGACCUCAGGUUCAAGUAGAUUGGAAGACAAAAAGGGGAAACAUAAGAAAGAACUGGAGGCGCAAGACAGGGACGCCGCAGAUGCCCCAAAGGUGGAGCAGGCCAAACAUGAAACGUCUGUAACCACUGAGAAAGAAUGUGUCUUGUCAACCAUCUCUGACCACAAUGAUUCAUCCAAAGAGGAUAAGCACAGCAGCCUGUCGGCCAAUGACAAGGAAAUCGAGUCCGAGUUCCAGCGUUUAGCUCUGGGCUUCAAGUGCGACAUGUUUACCUUAGAGAAGAGACUCCGGCUGGAGGAGCGCUCACGUGAUCUGGCCGAGGAGAACGUCCGCAGGGAGGUGUCCAGCUGCCAGGGCUUGCUACAGGCUCUGACUCCUCUAUGUGAAGAUGACAACCAGUCAAUGGAGAUCAUCCACAGGCUCCAGAAGAACCUGGACAUCCUCAUCCAGUCCAUGAGCAGAGUUUCAAGUCGCUCCGAGAUGCUCGGAGCCAUCCAUCAGGAGAGUCGCAUCGGCAAGGCAGUGGCGGUGAUGAUUCAACACGUGGAGAACCUAAGGCGGGUGUACACCAAGGAGCACGCCGAGCUGCUGGAGCUACGGGAGACGCUCAUGCAGAACGAAAGGUCCUUCGGGUCGCACGCGGACAGAGAUGAAUUCCGUGGCAAGAAGCCAUCGACGUCACAAUACUACAAGUCAUCAGCCCGGCGGGUUAGCAUAGCAGCAAUACCUCGAUCUGGCGGAGGCAACAUGCACUAUGACAUGACCAAACAACAGGAUGGUGCAGAAAGUGAAGCCGAAAGACUCACCAGGAGAUCCCCAUGGAAUGUGGCCGGAAAGAACAUGGCGCGCCCCCCACUUAAGCGCUUUGUUAGCUCUGCCGCCUGGGUUGACACGGAAGAGCCUUCCGUCGUGAUGAAGGGGACGGCGGCGCGCAGUCACUCCGACCCCCAGCCAGUGGACGAGCUGGAGGAAGUUGUGCCGGAGAGGAGAUCCAGUCUCAGUGAGCUGGGCAGCAAACUCACCUCGCUCUUUCUGCCCCUCAAGACAAGUCAGGAUGAGCUCUUUGUCAUGCUUGCCAGCUCCUCAUCCAGCCCGGCGUCUUCUGAUCAAGGACUGUCCCAAUCUCUGGCCCACAGCCUGACAUCCACCCGGGCGACGGCAGCUGCGGUGGCCCGAGGCAGCAGGGGCCUCUGGCUUUGGUUGGCCAUGGUGCUCAUCCUCGUAGGUCUCCUGGCCCUGUUGGCCAGCCUGGUGAUGCAGCCCGCUGUCGACGCAGCCCCCGUGGGCACCGGGGACUCCUGGAUGACCAUCCAGCAGCUGCUCUGGCCUUAUACGGGCCUGCGACACAAUGGACAGCCCCCAGUUUAGUCCCCUUGACCCACUUUUGGACCUCGGGUAGACGGUGCUACGGCCGUUGGCCUUCUCCAGAUUAGCCCGUGCACUUGGGAUUGUUGGAGAGAUCGUGUGAUGCACUGAGUAAAACGGUCGGACGGCGACUGACGAUUCCUCAUCCGGGGGGCUUGGCGGGGAAUGGUGAAUCGUAACCCAUCACGUUUGCCAAACUAGUCUGAAUCGCCGCGUGAAUGCCUGUGUUUCAAAAGUGGCUGUGGCGCUGACAACCUGUCGCGGCUGCUCGACACGGUCACUUUUGAACCAAACUUGCAUGUUGUCCGAUCAUGUUGUUGAGUACACAUCCGCUGAACCAUACCGCAGUGCAUCGUUCACGGACAGCUUUAUAAACCCCACGUCAUGCACUUGAAGGGUUUAGCAAAACAUGAGCGGCCUGGUGGCGCAGAACAGACUCUGAACAGUGUCCACGAAGAGGAAGUGAGCCUCUCGGGUUCGACUUAUCCCUUCGGGGCUCAUGUUGUCCUGCAGCAUGUGGAUGAAGGUGGAGUGAAACUCACUGUCGGGAUGGUGGUCUGCGCAGAAAACCUCACUUGUUUCUGUUAUCUCCAACUUUUGGAAUCUCUGAGGCGCCACCAGGUAGAGACUCCACAGGUCCUCGGGUGGCGGGUUGAGGCCUUGGUGCUCACAGACCUGACACGGUGAAAUUGGAUUCGGUUAAAAUGUCCACAGAGGUUGUUCAGACAAAAUGGACAUAUGGAAUGCAGACCCGACCUUAAUUACAAGAUGUUCCGGGCCACAUUGGGCGUUCCAUUUGCUCCAUGAGAAGGUGCAGACAGAUGCGAACAGGGCCAUCUGUUCAUAGGCAACGUGUUCCCUCAGUGGGUCCUUUUAGACAAAACGAGCCACAUGAACUCUAAUGUGCAAAAGUUAUUUUGACAGUACAAAUAAAUAUUUUUACUGAUGCGUGCGUGCCCCAUGGUGAUCAAAACUUGUGCUCAAGGGCCUUUUUUUUUUAAAUAGACUGCUUGACGAGGUUGGUCUUAGGGGGGUUAAAUUAAGUCAUUUAUUUUAAGAGAAAAUCUUAUUGUUUUAAAAUCAUUUCAUAAUAGACCGACUUACCCUUUAAAAUAUCAAAACUUUUUUUUUUUUAAUCGACAAUCAAAAAUGUUCAAUUUGUAUGUUAAAUUUUCUAUUGGACGAAUACUGUAGUUUAUGAUGUCCAUGGAACGAGGGAUAUUUUAAUAUUUGCAGUUGAUAAAUUGGCCAUUGUUUUCAAUGUUGAACGUAUGCAAUGUAAAUGACUUGACAUUUUAUUUACAAUGUCAAUAAAACAUUUAAAAAAUGUAUGUCGAUACAUAUUUUAAUGUUCUAUCUGAUUUAAUUACAUAUCUUAGGAAAUCAAGUGCAGAAAUAUGACAGAAAAAUGUGAACUAUUUAUAGGAAGAAAUGUAUAUGUAUACUUAUAAUUAACUUGGCCAACUAUUGAAUGGAUGAAAACAAGUUAAAUGAUUUACUAUGAUUCUAUUUACAAUAAUUGACCAGUUAUUAAAAAUUGUACGAGUCGAUUUUUAAGCAUGCAAUUUUAUUUUGUAGUUUUUAAAAAAUGAAUUAACCAACUUUGAGGGGGAAAAGUGGACGCUAUCUCAUCCUGAAUUGGCAUGACAACGAUACAGAAUAUGGUUAUCCUUUUUUUUUUUUUUUUAAACUAUUAACAAUCUAAUUGUGUUCAAGACUUUUUUGCUGUAGGCGAUGGCGUUCGAUGGCAACCUUGCGGCAGGAAGUGACAAACUUCUCGGUGUGUUCAUUGACGAAGAUGUUGAUCCCCGCCUUGACCAUGGCCUGCUGCAGGUCGGGCGCACUCAUCCACUUGCCAAAAAGGUUGGUGAGGCCCACCUCUCGGUCUGUUUGCAGCAUGCACUGAUUCCCCUGGAAAACAGACACAAAAAAAACUUUCACAAAUCACCCUCUGUGUCCUCCUCGGCUUUCUUUGAUGCCCACCUGGAUGGUUAUGCUGAGGUCAAUGACCGCCCCGUGGAUGCUGAAGAGAGCUGAGUCUUUACCCAGCGGGCGCAGCUCCCAACUCCGGAAGGGAAAGUUGGCGUAGCGGCCCACUCGAGGGGUUUCUAGGAAGACCACAGUGUCAGGGAGCCUCACAGACAAACCGACAAGUGGGCAAGUGGCUUCUUCAUCUUCUGUUUGGUUUGAUUUCUCAGGAAUAUACUGGAAAGCUUUCAACCUGGCUUCCGAUAUCUAUAAAACACUUUCAAGUUACGAUUGAUAGAAAUAAUCAUCCUGAAAUUUCAACUGAUGUGUAGAUUUUAAUCUACCUUUCGAAUUU